GCCCAAGACCCAGGCUAGGGUUUUGCCUUCGAUCAGAAACCUUAGGGGUUGAAUUUCAUUCCCCUCACUCUGCCUCCACUCAAAAUCACGGCCACCCAACCCUCUUCUCUGAACCAGAAGACCUUGCAGCAAUCAUCCCGCCACUCACGCACUCGUCGCUGCCCCCUCCGAACGGCCCCCGCGACGCCACCAAAGGGGUCGCUAGCGACCACCGUCGACCCCAGCGUCCAGCCGNUCGCCGGCGUCAAGCCUUCCCUUCUCCUUUUCCCAUUUUUCCGCCGGCGCACCCUAAGGCCGCCCUCUCCAUCACUUGCCUUCUCCGCCAUGAACCGNCGUCAAUGGCGUCGCUAGUGACGUUGUGUGCCGCCAGAGUCGUCGCCGAUCGUUGGGCCCUCUCCCUUCCUUCUCCUUUUCCCACACGAGAAAAGCCCUCUCACGCUCCUUCGUCAAACGCCGCCUAAGGGAUUCUGGUCGCCACGAACCAGAGCACCCCACGCCUCCGACNGCAGCUAAGGCCACCGCCGGACCUCACGUUGACGUCCUCCACNGCCACGGCCAAAUCCACCGAUANUCCAAAAUCGUCACCGCGCNUGCCACCUCUAGGAGUCCCACUGCUUAGCUAUCAAAGAAAACAGCCACAAAGGCUUGCCGAGACAAUGCUUGGGGUUUGGNAUUUUUAUUCUGAUGCUGUGGUUUGUAUGUGGUCUUGAUGGUAUAGGGUGGACAUGGGCUAUCGGCGUUAACAGAUAAUGGUAGAAACAGAAUAGUCGAAGCAGAUUUGGUUUUCGGCUUGAUGGGAGAAAAAAUCUACUUCUGUUUUAUGUCCAGCUUGUUUAUGUUUUGCUUUCUGUUUCACAUGAGAAUUGAUAUGAAAGGAAGAAUUUGAUCCUAGUUUGGGUGUACACUCUGAAAUCUUUCUUCUUAUGACAUUUUUCGUAGAGAGUUUUGUUUGCAAGUAAAGGAAUAUUGAAACCUUGAUGUUAGGAGUGUGUUUUCUAUUGUUAUUUAAAUCUGAUGAAAUUUGCAGGCCCUGAAACUACAUCUUGGAUGUAUUUCNAUUAACAGAUGAAAUCCCAAAGAAAGCAAACAAGUAUGUAAAUUGAUNAAGUGUCGUCAUUCAUAUGUUCACAACAUCAUUCAUUCAUACCCAACAUCAUUCAUAUCUGUACAUAUAACAGAGGAGCAUGCAUUCGUAACAAGACCAAGAGCUCAGACGAGGAAACUUACCUUUGCAGCUUUAAAAGAACUCUUCCUUUUGGUUCUAGUUCCCUAUGNUUUCCUCGAUUGAUCUUUGAAUGGCUGAAAAUGUUCUUGCAGUUGGAAGGCUAAUUUGAAGGCAAAUGAUUCACCCUUUCUCUUGAGGUCGUGAGGUGCUNGAGGAGGAUCAUCCUUCCGAGUGUUCUCUUCCUCUCAUGAUAUUAGCCCCUGUUGUCUCCUUGUGUUUUCUGUUUAGUGAAAUGGAGUUGAGAGUUCUCCUUGUGAAGUCGAUAAUGGAGUCUGGAUAAGAAUCCUCGGUACCUAGUAUCUAUUCCGCUAGUUAAGGUCUCUUUUUCAUUUACUGUGAUGAAGCCUCAUUAAAAAACCAAACCCCACAUAUCUUCUACCGCCGGAUUUUUCUCUUGUUUUUUUUUUUUCUUUAUUCAUGUUCAUUGUAUUAGAUAUCAGACUGCGGAAGCUCACUUCCAAAAANAAACAUUCCCCUUUGAUGUAUACUGUAAUCCUGCGAAGGGAAAUUAUAGGAGGAGGAGCCAAAGCCUUUCUGCCACUGUCAUUGUAAAUACAUUUUGAGCAUUGUUUUUUUUGUCAAUUACUGCUGCUGCCAUUUGUCUUAUCUGAGCAUUGUCAUUGUCGUCUACUGUUUUAUGCUACAAGAGUGACCAUGGUUUAUUUUUGUUUUGUUUUUUUCUCUUCUUAUUCUUUUUUUUUCGUUUUUUUUUUGUUUUUCUUUUUUUAAUUAAUUUUUUUUUGUUUUGUUAACAUAAAAAUUAAAGUAAAAGAAACUAAAAAAAAGAAACUAAUGUAAAAGAAAAUAAUAGAAAGUAAAAUAAAAACUAAAAAAAACUAACAUAAAAAUAAAAUAGUGAAAACAAGAUUACAAUGCAAAUAAGAUAAAAUCAAAUCAAAUACCAAAAACAAAACAUAUAUUAUUUAAUUAUCCGGACGAAAUUUGGUGUUGACAUCUUUUUCUUUAUUCUUAUUUACAAUACAAUAAAAAAUGAUUAAAUAAUAUAAAUUUUAAAUAAAACACUACAUAAUUAAUAAUUUAAAGACAUAUAAUUCAAAAAUUAAAAUGUAUUAUUUCUUUACUACAGAAAAACAUGUUUUAUCGACGGAUAUUUAUGGACGACGAUAGAUUUGUAGGUAAAUGUUAAUUAUCAACGGACAUAUUUAUUAGUGAAUGUAUUUUUUAUUUACCAAAAGAUGUGUCCAUUAGUAAGGUAUUGUUGACUUGCUUUAUUGACUUCCUCCAUCAGUAUGUUCUUCGAUGAAAUUAGGUAAAAUUUAGGAUUUCUCUUCCCCAAAUUAUCUCGUUGAAUGCAAUAUGCACUAUCCUCUUUCAAUCCAGCCAAUGUCCAUUGCUCUUUUUCUUAUCUUUUAUAGCAUAGACGGAGAAAUGUUGUUCCCUUUAGAUAACGAAAUAUGCGUUUAACAGCACUGAGAUAAGUUUCUUUGGGACUUUACUGAAAUCUUGCACAAAGACAGACAUUAAACAUAAUGUUAGGUCUAGACGCGCAGAGAUACAAAAGUGAACCUAUCAUUUGAUGAUAAAGAGUAUUUUCCACUUUUGUUGAGCUUUCAUCUAGUCCUAGGCUAGUUGUUUGAUGCAUUAGAGUCUUAAUCUCCUUGGCAUCAUCCAUUUUGAACUUUUUGAGUAGCUCCUUAAUAUAUUUGGUUUGGUGUAUGUAGAUCGCGUCGUCUUCUUGCUUGAUUUCUAAUCCUAGAAAGAAUUUUAGCUCGCCCAUCAUACUAUUCUCGAAUUCUUCUUGCAUCAUGAUCAAGAAGUAUGGUCCCCACUAAUGUACCAUAGGGAUGACCAUAAUAUCAAUCCUAGGACCUGGUACAAUCUAGUUUUAAAAUGUAGAGUUAGAUUUUGUGUUAUUUAUCAAUUAUCUAAACUAGUUGGGGACACUAAAUGAAAGCAAUGAAACUCUUAGUAAAGAAUUAAAGAAAAUAAAACUCUAAUAUGAAACUUAAACUAGAUUAAGGAACUAAUGUAAAAGAAAGAACCUAAACUACUGAACUUUGUUAUUGUCAGAACCUAAAAACUAUAAAUACAAAAUCUAAAUUAUGCAACUAAACCUACAAAUGAACAAUUGGAAUAUACACAUAGAAAUUAGGAUUAAAAAUUGGAAUCUAACCCUAACACAUAAUAAUAGCAAACUAGAAAUUGAAAAAUGCAUCAAACCAAAGGUAAAAUAGCAAAAUGAUAACAUCAGAAUUCAAAGCACAAUUGUAAUCAAAAUUUAAACUCCUUAACUUGCUGAGAAAGUAAAUCAAUACUAAAAAUCAACUCUACUCUAAUCUAUAUAUCACCAAAAAGCAAUUAAAAGCAAAAUUUAGAAUUGAAACAAAACAAAAUCAGUACCUAAAUUCAAGGAAGCAUAGAACAAAACUUAAAUAUGCGAAUGAUUGAGGAUAAAGUUUCCAUUAUACUCAAAAAGACAUUCUGACUAAAGUAAGUCGGGUCUUAUAAUUCAUAUUUCAGAACUUACAAUGGUAAUUUCCUCUCUUCUCAAUCAAUGCAAAUCUAAAUAUGAUAUACAGUUUCAAAAGAAAACAAUUGAAACAUAAUCUAUAAGACUCUUUAUGUAUUGGAUUCAUCUUUGACUCGAGAAGACAUCUCGAGAAUGAAUGUUCGCUGUGGAGUCAUUUGAUUCCCAAAGGAAUUAUAGAAAUGCAGAGUUCUAGAGUUCAAUUUAUUUUCAAAGCAAAACAAUUCCAAAAAUCAAAAACACAGAAAAAUAUCUACGCAAACAAGAAUAGAAAAAGAAACACGAAAUUGAAAUUUAUUAACAUGAACAAGAAAUUUACAUACUACCAAACUCACCAAACCACUCGCGACUGUCACUCCCGCGAGCUUCAAGGUGAAAUCCAGUAACCAAGAACCCUACUUCUACGAAAGCACAAAAAUCCUUGAGCAUUGGAAGCUUCUGGUUAAGUCGCGCUCUCUUCAAUCUCCCUUAGAAACCCUAGCUGUUGGGUUGCCUUUCUUCUACCUAAUGUUUAACGAAAGCAAAGACCCCUAAGGCAACAACAUCAGACUCUCCAAAACGACACCAUUGCACUAAUGACCAACGUAUGGAAGCAGCCUAAUCCCUUUCUGAUCCAAAUAGUCCACUAGCCUAAUGUAUCACUGCAUUCCAAUGACCACUUCAGCGUCAGAUCAGUGUCAGCUCCAAACGUGGCAGCAGCGACUCAAUGCAUUGUGUCUAGACCAAACCAGCAUCGUAGCAGGCCAAACAACCCAACACUUUUCAUUUAAGAGGAUUUCACCCUACACCUCCAAGUGCUUCAUUCUGCACCUCCAAAUUUCUAAAAAUAGCUAAAUUACCCCUAAUUAAGAAGGUUGUAAUAUUUUUUAGAAAAAGUAAAAAUAGUCAAAGAUGUCAGUGCACAGAUAUUAUUACGCUUAUAUUUGUUUAUUUGUCUCUCACAUUUGAAAAUACUCUCUGAAUCUCAUUCCUAAGUUGGUGUCUCCAUUCUUCCUCUCCAUUUGAAUUAAUUUUAUUUAUUUUGAAUGAAAUAAUUUUAACUAUUUUAAUUUCUCUGUUUUAAUAAUUUUAAUUUUUUUUAAUCAUUUUAAAUUUUCUGUUAUAAUUAUUUUAAAUAUUCUGUUAUUAUAAUUUAAAAUUUUAUGUUUUAAUUUUUUUGAAUAUUCUGUUAUUAUAAUUUUAAAUUUUUUGUUUUAAGUUUUUUAAAUGUUCUCUUAUAAUUAUUUAAAAAAUUUAGUUUUAAUUUUUUAAUUUAUACUUAUUUCAUUUUUAUUUUAAUAAAUUGUUAUAUUUGAAUUAAUUAUUUAUUUAUAUGAAGAUUUGAAUUAAUUUUACUUUUUGAAUUCACUUUAGUUUGUAUAUAUUUAAUAAGUAUUUUUAAUUUCUUUAAUUUUAUAGAAUGUAUAGUUGGUUAUUUGUAAUAAUAUAUUAAGGAAUUAGUUAAAUUGAUUAAAUUUAUUUGGUUUUAAUUAUUUUUUUAAUUUGUUUUAAAAAAAUUAUAGUUAUAAGAUUUUUCGUUACUUUUUGUUUUCUGAAAUAUUAGAUUUUUACUAUUAGUUAAUAUAUAUAUAUAUAUAUAUAUAUAUAUAUAUAUAUAUAUAUUAUCGGAUUAUCAUAGGUUACGUUUAUUUUUUUAAUCAAAAUCAGUUUUAUUAAUUUUAAUAAAUUUAUAGAAAUUAAUUUAUAUUAAUUAAAAAUUAUAUAAUUACAUUAUAUAGUUAUACAAAAUCAUACUUAAUUUUAAAAAUAAUUUUAAAUCAAUAAAAUAAUUGAAUAAGUAAUAUAAUGAAAUUUUAUAUUACAUUAAACUGUAAUCGAAAAUGGUACAAAUCGGAUAUCCAAAUCCGACUUUUAUUUUACAUUCGGAUUUGCAUAUCCGAUAAACUUGUCUUAAUGUUGAAAACUAUUUUUAAUAAUUUUAAUAAAUUAAUAUAAAUUACAUUAUAUUAAUUAAAAAUUAUAUAAUUACAAUAUAUAUUUAUACAAAACCAUAUAUAAUUUUAAAAAUAAUUUUAAACUAAUAAAAUAGAUAAAUAAGUAAUAUAAUGAAAAUUUUAUAUAACUUAUUCAACUUAAUAUAAUAAAAUUUUAUAUAACAUAUCCUCAUCCGAUUUUGAUAAAUUCGGAUUUUCAUUUUCGAUCUGCUCAUCUGAAGUUUAUUUUAAUUUAAAAGUAAUUUUAUUAAUUUUAAUAAAUUUAUAAAAAUAUAAAAUUAUAUAAUACAUUAUAAAGUCAUACAUAAAAUUAAAAAAAUUACAAUCUAAUAUAAACAAGUAAUUCGUAAAUAAUAUAAUUUAAAUAUAUGAAGAAGUAAACGUUAAUCGGAUAUGAAAAUCCGAAGCACCUCACAUCGGAUGUCUAUAUUCGACUGCGUUGCAUCGGUUCUUGACAGUUGUCUUUUGUGAUCAUGCAUAUGAACUAAAAAUUAAAUACUAACAUGCAACAAUGCAACUGAUUAACCAAAAAUAAAAUACUAACAUGCAAUAGAUUAACCAAAAAUUAAAUAUUCUCUCUCGAGCAAUUUCAAUGCAACUACGAAUAACACCGAAAAGAGCACUCCAAGAGCAUCACCGUAAAGCACCCCAAGUACAUUACCACAAAAGCAAGUCAAGCUUCCUGGAUGCACCAUUUCAAACUGCACUCAAAAACUACUAAGCCCUCUCAAAUAUCUUUAGUUCUCAAUAUUACACUCACUCACAAAUACUCAAGAGAAAAAUAAUUAUCACAUAGCUCCAAUUCAAAUGGGAUGUUGCGUCGUCUCUUAAUAAAAAUGAAAUGGGGUAUACAGGUGUGGGAUGUAAGGAUGUAGUCAAUUGUUUAGAAGUGUAGUCAAUAUAGGGAUGCAGGAAUGCAUGUUUGGUAAUAGGAGGAAAACGAAAAUGAUAUAUUAACAUCGUUUCUUUGACACAGUUUUGACAACGCCACAUGACGUCUGUGCAUUGGCCGGUUUUUUAAUGAAAUGAAAUUGGCUUUCUAAGGUAAGUAAGGGGCAUAAUGGGAAAGGCAAGAGAAUGAAUUUUCGAUUUGGCGCCCUGUUUUCUCAUUUCCUUUUCACAGUUUCAGAUUUUCUUCACGGUUUCUCACUUUUUCUCCCUCGUUGCACUGGUUCUCUGUUCAUCACUCUUGUGCUUUUGUUCUCUCAUCAUCUCGUUCUCAGUUCUUAGGCGUUCUCGGCUGCUUGGGUAUUGUUUGUGUGUUGGGCAUCCUUCGUGUGUACUGUUGAAGCCCGCCCUCUACCAUUUCUGUUUUUGUCGUUGUUGGUGUGUUCUUAUAUUUGGGGUAAGUGCAACUCGAAACUUACUCUAACCUCAUAUCCAAUAGAGUGGUUUAUUUCUUUAGCGAAACCUAACUAUUUUUGUGGACAUUGUUAUCACUGCAGGUCCAAUGGCAUCAAGAAAACCAUGUGUAAGAUGAAAUUUUUAAUGUUUUAUUGUUAUGGAUGAUGUAUAAGUUGUUAUGUUAUUGUUUUGUAGUGGCAACUUCGUAUAUCCAUGGAUUCGGCCAACGAGAACAUUGCAAGAAUGAAAGCACUACAUGAAUAUGGGUUUUUGCAGAAUUGUUAAGAUUUGUUAGAUGUUAAUAUGUAUUUCAAAUUACAUUGUACCCUAUACAGAUGAUAUGUAUAUAAGAUGACAUUGUUGAUGAUUUGUUGAUCUCCAUUGAUAUAUAUAUAUAUAUAUAUAAGAGUACAUUGUUGAUGAUAAGGUGAUUUGCAAUGUCUUUGUAUUUACGUUAUGUAUGUAUUAAUGGGAAACGAAAGCGCGAUAUGAAUAAUUCCUUUAAAUAAAAGCAAAGUAAUGUUUUGAAAGUUGUUGGAUGAUGUCCACAAAGUUGUGCAGCAGAAAACACAGUGGUAAUCGUUUACCAGAGUUUGGUAAACGACUACGCGACUCAAAUCCAGGAUUUGGACACAAACCUCAACAGUAGGAGCCUCAGUUUUAUACACAGAGAACCAUGGUCUAUCCUUAUAAUGUUUCUGCUACAUAACUUCUUCUAGAACAUGAAUUUGGGGCUUGCACUCAACAUAAAACCUUCCUUGCAUACCAAAACAUGUACAACUACACUUAGAACACCUAAAACCCACUAAAUGACACCAAAACAGAUCCACCUCUGCUCUAAAUUCAGGAAUUAAUGCCAUGGUCCGCUGUGAACAAAAUAAAGGCUUUCUAUGUUGAAAUUUGUGUCCAAAUCACUAAACAAGCUCGCGUAAUCGUUUACCAAUCUGUGGUAAACGAUUGCCACAACUUUUUCUGCAUAACUUCUUCCUGGACAUGAUUUGGGGGCUUGCACUCAACGUCAAACCUUCCUUGCGUACCAAAACAUGUACAACUACACUUAAAACACCUCAAUACCACUAAAUGACACCAAAACAGAUCCACCUCUGGUUUAAAUUCAGGAAUUAAUACCAUGGUCCGCAGUGAACAAAUUAAGGGCUCCUUAUGUUGAACUUUGUGUCCAAAUCACUAAACUAGCUUGCGUAAUUGUUUACCAGUCUGUGCUAAACGAUUACCACAACUUUUUCUGCAUAACUUCUUCCUGGACAUGAUUUGGGGGCUUGCAUUCAACAUCAUACCUUCCUUGCCUACCCAAACAUGAAAAACUACACUUAGAACACCUCCAAAGCACUAAAUGACUCCAAAACAGAUCCACUUCUGGUCUAAAUUUAGGAAUUAAUACCAUGGUCCGUUGUGAACAAAAUAAGGGCUCCCUAUGUUGAACUUUGUGUCCAAAUCACUAAAUCAGCUCGUGUAAUCGUUUACCAGUCUGUGGUAAACGAUUACCACAACUUUUUUCUGCAUAACUUCUUCCUGGACAUGAUUUGGGGACUUGCACUCAACAUCAUAACUUCCUUGCCUACCCAAACAUGAACAACCACACUUAGAACACCUCCAAAACACUAAAUGACACCAAAACAACUCCACCUCUGGUCUAAAUUCAGGAAUUAAUACCAUGGUCUGUUGUGAACAAAAUAAGGGCUCCCUAUGUUGAACUUUGUGUCCAAAUCACUAAACCAGCUCGCGUAAUCGUUUAGUAGUCUGUGGUAAACGAUUACCACAGCGUUUUCUCCAUAACUUCUUCCUGGACAUGAUUUAGGGGCUUGCACUCAACAUCAUACCUUCCUUGGCUACCCAAACAUGAACAACCACACUUAGCACACCUCCAAAGCACUAAAUGACACCAAAACAACUCCAACUUUGGUCUAAAUUCAGGAAUUAAUUCCAUGGUCCGUUGUAAACAAAAUAAGGGCUCCCUGUGUUGAACUUUGUGUCCAAAUCACUAAACCAGCUCGCGUAAUCGUUUACAAGUCUGUGGUAAACGAUUAAAACACCUUUUUUCUGCAUAACUUCUUCCUGGACAUGAUUUGGGGGCUUGCACUCAACAUCAUACCUUCCUUGCCUACCUAAACAUGAACAACCACACUUAGAACACCUCCAAAGCACUAAAUGACACCAAAACUGUUGGUACCAGCGGGGUAUGGUUUGAAGAAUAUAACGCAGAGGAAUUAAACUUAGAGUAAGCGGAAAGCGUGUUUGGUCACCCUUUUAAAACAAGUUGGUCCUUUUUCGAAAAUCAAUUUUCUUUUAGAAAAUUUAUCAAACAGUUGAUAUGCUUAAACAAUAAAAAGUGUAGGGAAACAGAAUCUACGUUCAGUCGUUAAUCACUUCAAAGAGUGAUUAGCAGUUCCACUAAAAAAAUAUUUCACAGUUUACAAUAGAAAGUGAAUAAGAACUGAUAAACCUUCCUUCGUCGAACGAACCGGAAGAAUGACACUCAACCAACUCGAUGAGAACCGCUCCGGCAAUCGACCAACGAUUCGCGAGCUUCUCCUAUUCACGAGACCAGGCAGAGCACCUUGCUAACUCCAAGAGAGCCUGCUCCGACUAUCGACACACGAUACACAAGCCUCUCCUAUUCACGAGACCAAGCAAGGGAACUUUGAACAAGCUACUGAGAACUUCCUCUGACAAACAGUAUUCUUCUAAGCUUUCAGUUCAAGAACGUUGCAUUUGAAUUUCUCAGAAACCAUAUAUAUAACCAUCUGCUCUGAAUAUCAAAGGUCAAGUCCCAACUGCCACGAAUAAUCGAUUAUUGUAAGUGAUAAUCGACUAUUUAAGUCCAUUACAGGUUUUUCAAAAAUGUGAUAAUCAAUUAUAACAAAUGAUAAUUGAUUAUCACGAUUAUUCCUUAAGGGCUUAUGAUAAUCGAUUAUUGCUUGUCCAUAAUCGAUUAUUCUAGUACAAAAUACAAGUGAUAAUCGAUUUUUAAUUGUUCGUAAACGAUUAUUCUAGUAGAAAAUGCAAGGUUUACAAUUUAUUUAAGACUUUCCUACUAUAUUCAAUUUUUACAAGUUGCUUUUUAAAUAAUUCUAAUGUCCUCUUCAAAUAACACUUCUUGCAGCAUCAUCAAAACAAUUCUUCAAGAUUUACCAAUACUCCUUAUUGGUAACAAUCUCCCCCUUUUUUAUGAUGAUCAAAAAUUCAAUUUUAAAAGCAACUCUGGCUUUCCUGCAACACAUACAAGCUAACAGAAAACAAAGUUUGCAGUACCUGUAUCAUUUAUUAAUUUGUAUUAUACUUUUCCCCAUAUAGCUUUCUUCUUCCCCUUUUUUAUCAUAAGCAAAAAGAUUAAUGUAAAAAUCUCCCCCUUAAUAUGAGAUCCCCCUCAAUUAUAUAAUAUAUGCAUAAAAUUGACAUAAAAUCUCAUUUUAUUUAAAAGAGAAGGAUGACAUAAAGUUCAUAAAGAUUAUUACUAAAGAGAUAAAUAAACACAAAGGAAGUACAACAAACAAUCAACUUAGCAGCCUAUUUCUAGAAUUCAGGACUGGGAGAUCUAUCAGGAGGUUGGAUAUUUAGAUGAUCCUCGAUGUUAGAUAGGCGAACAUCAAGAUCAAGAAAUUGAUCAACCAUGUACUCAUUAAUAGAUUGUUGUCACUCAUAAAUCUCCUCAAGGUGUGUCUUUUGUGCUAGACUCAUAUCCUCCAAUUGUUUAGAUAACCUUGCGAAGUGUUCUUCCAUAGAAGUUGAGGAAGAGGAGGGUAUGUUGGAUUAUCCAGCAUCAGAAGGAGCAGCAGCACUCACUGGGUCAGCCAUAUUCAAUGUCAUCAUUUUCAUCUUCAUCAAGAUGAUCAUCAUCUUUGUGGAUAAGAACUCUUCCUCUAGUAAUGAAUCCCAUCUGACGAAAGGUAGUAUCUCCAAUUUCCGAACCCACAGCUUGAAUGGCUUGGACAAGUUCUCCUUGAACAUUUACACCUUUGUACUCCAAAAUC
This 10980-nucleotide long non-coding RNA is filed under the name Vigna radiata. Its description in RNAcentral is "long non-coding RNA (VRAD_LNC005922)". The record is from RNAcentral. Lineage: Eukaryota; Viridiplantae; Streptophyta; Magnoliopsida; Fabales; Fabaceae.